This 25-nucleotide non-coding RNA is filed under the name Mus musculus (house mouse). The record is from RNAcentral. Lineage: Eukaryota; Metazoa; Chordata; Mammalia; Rodentia; Muridae.
UNGCAAGCAGGGACCUGCCAGUGUU